CAUGGCCCUUACGACCAGGGCUACACACGUCCUACAAUGGCGCAUACAAAGAGAAGCGACCUCGCGAGAGCAAGCGGACCUCAUAAAGUGCGUCGUAGUCCGGAUUGGAGUCUGCAACUCGACUCCAUGAAGUCGGAAUCGCUAGUAAUCGUGGAUCAGAAUGCCACGGUGAAUACGUUCCCGGGCCUUGUACACACCGCCCGUCACACCAUGGGAGUGGGUUGCAAAAGAAGUAGGUAGCUUAACCUUCGGGAGGGCGCUUACCACUUUGUGAUUCAUGACUGGGGUGAAGUCGUAACAAGGUAACCGUAGGGGAACCUGCGGUUGGAUCACCUCCUUACCUUAAAGAAGC
RNAcentral lists this ribosomal RNA (352 nucleotides) under Escherichia coli. RNAcentral's name for it is "bacterial SSU rRNA". It matches the Rfam family "Bacterial small subunit ribosomal RNA", at positions 1194 to 1533 of the family's 1533-position model. The record is from RNAcentral. Lineage: Bacteria; Pseudomonadati; Pseudomonadota; Gammaproteobacteria; Enterobacterales; Enterobacteriaceae.